RNAcentral lists this ribosomal RNA (253 nucleotides) under uncultured bacterium. Its description in RNAcentral is "partial 16S ribosomal RNA". It matches the Rfam family "Bacterial small subunit ribosomal RNA", at positions 524 to 776 of the family's 1533-position model. The record is from RNAcentral.
GACGAACCGUGCGAACGUUGUUCGGAUUCACUGGGCUUAAAGGGCGCGUAGGCGGGCGGUCAAGUCGGGGGUGAAAUCUUUCCGCUUAACGGGAAGCGUGCCUCCGAUACUGGCCGCCUCGAGGGAGGUAGGGGCAUGUGGAACUUCCGGUGGAGCGGUGAAAUGCGUAGAUAUCGGAAGGAACGCCGGUGGCGAAAGCGACGUGCUGGACCUCUUCUGACGCUGAGGCGCGAAAGCUAGGGGAGCAAACGGG